GUCUCUCUCUCUCCCUCUCUCAAAAUAAAUAAACUUAACACAAAUCCCAAACAGAUCAUUUGGUGCUGGGUGGAGGUGUCUUUGUGUGUGGAGGGGGGUUGGUGCAAUCUGGGGAAGGGUGGGGUGAGGCCUCAGAAGGACAGGCCACCCAAGGAAGGGAGAGGAGGGGCCAGGCUUAAGAAAUUCUAGAAGUCAACAGGAUGUGGGGCUGUGGAGUGGGCAGGGCCAAGGUGAUUCUGAGGUUUGCAGUCUGAAGAUGCUGUAACCUAGAUGUGAGGCCCAGAAUGUGCUACUUCCUGCAAAUGGGCUGACUGUCAUGGCAAUGGGGCCCCAGGGCUGUACCCCAAAAUAUCAAGGGGGCAGGCAACCUGCAUGGUGAGUUCAGGGACAGAGAAGGGAGGCGGAAGCCCCGAGUCCUCUCCAGGAAAUGCCCAGCUGAUGAGGUUGGUGGCUUAUGCAGUUCCUCCCCAGCCUGUCCUAGCAUUUAAGUGUCAUAGAGAGCUACACAGUGGUGGUUGGGCAGUGGAGGGGCAAAUGCCAGAGAUAGAGGAAACCAGGGACAUUCAAGCGACCGGUUAAAUGCUUUUGUAUAAUUGUUGGCUAAUAAAAGAGUUGGUGAGGACCAGUUGCAACCUUGUGAUUUUUUUGUUUGUUUGUUUCCAGCCCGCUCAGCUUCCCAUGAUAGGUACAGAAGAGAGAGGGUUCAGACCUGCAGAAGGUUCUGCCGGACAGUCUUUCACUGAUACCUCAUCUCCCAGGGAAGAAGAGGGAAAUUUGGACCCAGACACAGAGGAGAAGGUCGUGUGAUGACAGAGGUAGAGAUUGGAGUGAUCAAGAAUGGCAAGGAUGGCCGGCACCCACCAGAAGUUAGAGUCAAGGAAGGCUCUUCCCUGCAGACUUGAGAGGGACCGUGGCCCCGCGGACACAUUGAUUUUGGAUUUCCAGCUUCCAGAAACGUAAAAGGUGAAAGCAACCGAGUGUCCAUCCACGGAGGAGUGGAUAGGAAGAAUGUGGCCCGUUCGUACACUGGAAGAUUCUUCAGCCUUAAAAAGGAAGGCUGUUCUGACCCCAGCUACAACAGGGACGAACCUGGAGGACGUUACGCUGAGUGAGGCUCAGCGUAACACCUGAUGGAAGGAAGAAGCCCAAGAACGAUUUGUUAAAAGAAACAACGGAUGAGAGAAUAAAUCGGGAACUGAAAUGUGAAUAGGAACGGACGUAGCAUGAUUGCAGCCAAGGAAAUAUGGAAGAAUGUUACACAGACAAGUCCAGGAAGUCAAGGCCACUACAGUUCAGCUGACGGGGGAAUCUUUUUCAGAUGGACCAUAAGCAGGAAGUGAGACUUCCUUUCGGCCCCAGGGAGAGGACUCAGAUAGAGGCUCCCCCAAAAGACCCCUCCUCCAGGAAGCCUGCCUGGAACGUUUUCCCUUUUCAGCCUGACUGAACUCAUCCGGUGCCUUGGGCACUUAAACAUACUGGCUGUCUCAGGUGCACUCGAGGCUCAGCGUACCCCUGCCGUGGAGAAGUCUGGCAGACCGAGCCUCAGACAGGAGAGAACAACGAAACAGCCAUUUCCUUCCUCGUUGGGGUCCUGUGAGCUGUGGUCGCCAGCAGGGAGGAGAAACAACCACCGUCACCCUCACCGAAUCACCAUCCCCGAGAAUAACCUGCUCCUGCCUUCACCCCCUUUGCCCUCACAGUCAAACAAAAACUGCCGAUAACCUCAAUCAUGGCACCCACCGUCAACGUCACACAGAACAGGGAACGGGUCCCGCCGCCAAGUUCCCUACCGUCGCCACCGCCACGGCCACCGCCGCUGCCACGCUCACAGCACUGGCCGUCCACGGCCACACACGACCAACCUCCACUAGGGCCGCCGUUCCCACACCACCAUCGCCAGGGCGGUCGUCAAAAAUCAGCAACGGACGGCCGACAGCCAAAAGUGCUGCCAUCACCGCCCCACUCGGGGCGAGAGCGGCCACCGACUACCGUCAUUCCACGGAUCAGCCCUGAAGACGACCAGCCACCAACCACAGAUCAACACCGGCUGGCAGGCGGCAACCAUCGCCCCUGCCGACACGCGCCCACGGGACUCACAGUUACCGCCAACUUGCGACGACCGUGGGCGGCGAUGACCACCAUCAUCCCCCCCCCCCCCCCGGGCACCCACCACCCAUCAUCAUUCAACAGCAACCGAGAGUCGCCUCCCCCGGCUGCCAUCACUAACGACAGCAAUGAAUGGGCAUCGCCCACGGGGACUGCAUCGAGGGCACAGCGCGUGGCUUGGGGAAGCACUUGAAGAACACUGCUCCGUUGACUCCUUCCACACUCUUCCUAGCACUCAUCGCCCCCCCCCCAGGAAGCAGUCGGCACCCCUGGAUGGAAGUUUUGGCCUCGUGGAUGGGGUCUGCCCUCUCUUUUCCCCUCCGUGGUCCUCUUGGGUUGAGCUUCUCCCUUCCCGCAACCCGCCAGGAGAGCAAACCAUUGACUAAGCAUUUUGUACAGCUUCCUUGUGAGGGGGUGGGUUUCUUUCAAGUAGCAAAUCAUUUCCGUGUUCUUUUGAUCUCCGUCUCCCCAUCGGAGCGCCCGAGCCUUCCUGGCUUGGCUCCUUCUUCGAGGAACUCCCAUCCCAAGCCCGGGGCUCUAAGCUGCCACUUUGGUGGGUGAGCCACCCAGAGGGGUCCUCGGCCAGUGACCCCCGGUUCGUCACGGGCUUUCUGAAACGAGGAGGGGCUCUCUCCCAGACGGACGCAGUCCCUGCUGUCUGGCCCACCACCCUGCCUCCACCUUGGUCAGGUGCCCGCUGCGGCUGGCUGGGUGACUGUCCCAGCCACAUGCUGUCGUUGACAGAGUGACAAAAAUUGAAAGUCGAAGUGGUUUGCAGAUGCGUGGAGCGGUGGGGGCACAUCUUAGAGCCAGCCUGGGCUCUCUCUUUAUGUGUGUGUUAGGAGGCUGCUGGGUCUAGACCCACGGUAGUGACGGUCUCCUGAACCCUGUCACCGCAGUCAUCGCCAGACCUCAGCCUCACCAGGUGGUGACGCGGCUGGCGGCAGGGUGUCCCCUGCCAUACUUGCUUGGAAGGCUUCCGGGAGUGGUGUGGCCCUGCCGGGCCUCACCGCCUCCUGUUUCUGUGAUCGCUACAGCCAGACAUGCAGGCACACUGCCACGACACCAUCACUGCCCCCCAUUGCCCACUGGACACGGCUUCUGGCCGCAGCUGUGGACUCAGAGUGGCCGAGCCCGCGGACCCUCUGAAGUGCGGAGAGUUUCCCGGAACACCUUCCCUAUCACCACUGACUUCCAAAUAUGACAUGUGUGGGAACUGAGGCCCAGAGAGGGGAAGUGGCUUGCCCAAGGCCACACAGGAAGACGAGGGACCAAGAUGAGCUGGACACUGGCUCUCUAAGCCCUGACAAAGGGGUAUGUCCUUGUCCCCUGCAGAUACUGUGUGGUCCCUCAGGGUCAUCCUCUGUCCUUUGUUACUGCUCCCUCCUUGGUCCCCUAUCACCAUUCUGGCAUCCUGGCCCCACCCAAUGUGAACUUGGACCCUGGUGAAGGAUGCUGGGGCAUCUGAGCUGCAGAGAGGGACCCCCCAAAGGGUCCUCUGUGCCCCUCCCCCUGGCCCCACCUUCUGAUGGUGGCCCUGGGGCACCUCCACCUGGGUGGUUGCUCCCCACCCCUGCACUCGAGGGCCCGGCCUUGAAGGACUUACCAUGGUGAAGGUGUGCCACCCCUGGGGAGCGCCCGAAUGGGUCGUGGCGGGGGUCCAGGCUCAGGGCGUUCUGGGGGGCGGCUCGGGCAUGGCCCUGCUCCUGCUCCUGUACCGGACUCCUAGCCUAGUUCCUCUUACAACAGCCCCCCCUCCCACUUCCUUUGGCGGGAGGGGCCUCUGCUACAGGGGAGGAGGGACGCUGGGCCCCAGGGCGGGGAGAAAGCUCCAGCAGCAGAGGCAGGGCUGCUUGGGGCUCAGCCUGGAGGGAGAGGUCAAGGGUGGCCGCGGCUGGCGGGCCCCAGAAGGCCCCUUCUCCAACUGCGGGGACAGGGGCUGCGGCUGACAGCACGCAGGUCAGCUGGCUGCGGGACUGACUGUUCUUCCAGGGGGGGCAUCAGGGACCUUUUGGGAGGCCCCGGCCUCUUUAGAACCACUUCAGAGGUGUGUCCGUUCGGGCAUCUCCGAGCAAACUCCCGCUUCCAGGGCCGCCCCUGCCGCUCCUUCCUCCAGAAAGGCCUUGGGGGGCCACGUGUGUCCGUGUCACGAGGAGUGCAGGAGUACCAGGAGCCACGGGCAGCUCUUAGGGUCCCAGACUUUGGAUGUCAGCUCUGGAUUUAACAACCCAUCGGGUGGUGCCAGAUUUAACAACCUGCUACUUCGGGGGCGCCCCACUUUCUUAUAAAAUGGGGGGCGCUGGCUCUCACCCCAGGGCCUGGCACACACAGGGUCCCAUCAGGUGUUGGCUCACCUCCCGGUCUCCCCUUGACAUUUAGGACAUGGCAGUUCGGAGAGGUCGGCGCCUCCCGGCCAGGAGGAGGAGGAGGUCGAGGCCGAGGCAGGCGACCCUGGGAGCCUGCGCUCCUGGCGGUAACACAGCAUCGUGCUUCGAGGCCGGCAAGCCGCAGCGGCCCCUAGUGGCCACACCUGGGGAGGAGCGAGUUUCUCCCGAAAUCGCCCGCACAGGCGGGGGGCGCUGGGUAAUCUCAGCGGUGCCUCCAGGCACCUGCGGACAAGCAGGCAGGUGGACCUUCUCCUUGCCGGAGGCUUCAGAGGGGGGGUUCUGCAAGGGGGUGACGCUUGGGCCGACGCCGAAGGAACCUUUAGAAUGCAGAGCGCUGUAGUGCGCCGGGAAGGGUGCAGUACUCAGCGCUGCCACAGGAGGGCCUGCCGGAAUCCGGACGCUGUGCGGGGGACUGGGGACAUCGGAAAUGAGGCUGUGACACGAUGCUGGAGCGCUUGCUUUGAGGCCUGUUUUAAGUUCACAUCAGCCCAGUGAGAGCACACGGCCAGCGCCUUUCCUCCAGCCCGGCACUUUGUGACAUAGACUUCAAAUGUGGCGCCUCUCUUGUCCUGCCCCACCCCGACGCGUCCAGACCCUGCGAAUACUGGGAUGCGUCAACGGGACUGUGGAUCUGAAGAACAGAAUGCUGAUGAUCCCCAGGAGGGUCUGAAGGUUAACGGGGGACUGGAGAGAUGAAGCCGGGAGCCUCCCGCCUCCUGCUGUGUGUCCCUGGCAAGUUGCUUGGCCUCUCUGAGCCUUGUUUCGUGCAUCUGUUGAGUGUGAAUGCAAAUACUGGUGCUCAAUAGGUGCUUAGCUCCCGGCUGUUGGACGAGAGGCUGGGAGAGGUGUUGCAGGUGGAGUCUCGGCGGGCAGGGGAACCGCUCAAGACCAAUUCUGUUGCUCUCUUCUUGGCCAGGACAUGUAGCACACAGUAGGUGCCUCAUAAAACCUUGCCGACCUGUUUGGGUCCAAGACUCCUGAAUCUAAGGCUUCCUUUUCCCUUUUCUUUAAAAAAAAUUUUUUUUUUAAUGUUUAUUUUUGAGACAGAGAGAGACAGAGCAUGAACGGGGAGGGUCAGAGAGG
Molecule: long non-coding RNA, 5576 nt
Organism: Felis catus (domestic cat)
Lineage: Eukaryota; Metazoa; Chordata; Mammalia; Carnivora; Felidae
Exons: 10
Source: RefSeq, a predicted model, not a curated record